Molecule: long non-coding RNA, 1834 nt
Organism: Crotalus tigris (Tiger rattlesnake)
Lineage: Eukaryota; Metazoa; Chordata; Lepidosauria; Squamata; Viperidae
Exons: 3
Source: RefSeq, a predicted model, not a curated record
CCGGGAGAUUCGGGCAUUGUUGGCGUCUUGUAACCAGUAUGCUGAACAGAAAUAAAGAAGUUCCUGAGAACUACAACUGCUUCUCGUGUCAUUGCCAUUUCGCGAAGGACGCAACACUAGUCAACUAAAAAUCCUGACAUGACCUAAAUAUUGUUUAUCGGGAAGUUCUUUUCUAUUCCAAUUUCUUCAUCCAGGAAGCUGAGUAAGCUAACAUUAUUCAGAGACUGGAUGAUCUAAAAGAGGCACUGACAACAACCCAAUUCACAACAAAGCCUCUAUUUAAAUUGGCUUCACCAAAUACUUAAACUUGUGACAAUAGAGUUACCCAACAAUCUACUAUUUCCUCAAUAACAAAAAAAAGUAUUGUCACGCAGGCUACAGCAGAAAGACAAACUGUUCCAUUGUACAGUGUCCUUUAAGCAUGCAGAUUCUAAGGAUACAACUUAUCUACCACCUUUACUAGAGUCAGAAGUGCCUUUAACAUCUCCUUACAAGAUGACCCCCAACUGUAUCCCCCCCAAAACUGACAUAAAUUUAUAUGGGUGAUAGUUGGGGAUUCUGCUGAGAUAAUUGCUACAGGUGAAGACUCUCUGACCCAGCUAUCAGACGGCGACCAGAGGCAGAGACGUGCCUCAGUCCCCACACAAACAGUGGGGUUACCCUUGCUGUUGUGGAUGAUGUCCCCAUAGUCUCUCAAAACUUGCCUAAUUCCUGGUUAAACGCAUCUAAUAACCAACAAUAUUUAGUUUUCGGUGACAACAUCACCCAUCAUAACUCUCUUCCACCAAGUGCACCUACUGAGAACGUGGAAGGCCAGACUGUUCUGAUAUGAUUUUGUUUCUUUGUUGUAUUCCUCAUUUCCUCUGAUUUCACUGGUUUAUUCCAUAUAUAAAACUACCUGAUUGAAUACUUGUUUCUUCUGAUGUAGGCCAUAUCCAUUAUGAUUUAGGGUAGAUACUUCUUGACUUUUGACACAAAAUUUAAAAACCUCAACCCUUGAAUUUUACUUAUAUUGUAACUAAUUAUACAAACUAAGACUUCCUAGAAAUGUUUUUAUCAUGAAAAUGAUCAUCUUCAACCUAUUAAAAGAGAAGGUGAGAGUUUAUUUAGUUAAUUGGUGGCAAUGUACAACUGAUUAGAAAUCCCUAAUUCGUAAAACCCAGCGGAUUGCAUAAAUUAUGAAAAACUAGAUUUUUUACAGGCCAUUUCCUCGGAUUCCCAACAUUGCAACUUUUCUAAACUGGAAGCCUACAUUUCCCAAACAGCAGUUCUUCCCCGAGGGUCUACUUCCGCCUAAAGAGCAAUGCUUUCUGGGACAUGUAGUCUGUGCGUAUGUAUCAAAUGAGACGGCCGCAACGUCGGAUUCCCACCAGAUGAUGGUAACAUAAUGUACUGUACUAUUUGGGCAUGCAAAUUUGGUUUCCCUUUCCGGAAGCAGCGCCUCUGGGGGGAUGAGUAACGGGAGCCGGAGUGGGUCAAAUGAAUCCGGUGGUACCGAGAAUCGUCUAAAAUAGUAAAAAAAAAUCACUUUUAUUUUGCAAGUCAAGGGAUUUGAAGUUUUGAUCAUCUGGAGACUGAGCUGGGGGCAACGUGUAGCAAUGGAGCAAAGGCGAAGGAAUUCGUGUGUGAGUGAACGGGUUUAACUCAGGGCUGUGUAUCUGUGUAUUACUUUCUCCAAUUCGAGAUUUGGACACUAGACAGUUUAGCUGAGGAAUCUGAUCCAGCAAAUACGAGAAGUGAGGACUUUUGUUAUUCAAGGCUUAUUAAGAAUUCUCCAUUUUGCACAACUGGAAACAUUACGCUUGAAACCCGUCUAAGGAAUGAUGAAAUCAGG